GCAAAAACAAAUAUGUUCUACGAUUAACACAACAAAAAUUUAGUGCACAUUCAAAAUGGGAGUGUAAAAAAAAAAGGAAAAAAAAAAAGAGGAGGAACAAUGAUGGGUAACUUGUCCUUCAAAUUCUGCACAAUCAUAAUAAAAAAUACAUGUUCUCGUAACUCAUGAUUCAUAUAACUUGGAGAGUUCUUCGGAGAAGGCCUUCCUAAUGGCUUCCCUCUUGAUCUUGAGAGCUGCAGUGACAAGGCCAGUUUCAGGAGUCCAUGGAUUAGAAAGCAAUUUAAUUUUUGCUGGGAUCUCAAACUUCUCCAAAUGUGCUUUCUUUGCUUCCUUGAGGAAUGAUGCUUGCACUUCCUUCAUUGUUUCUUUUUUCUCACACAGGUCUGCAAAAUCAGAAAAGGCAAUUCCCUGUUUCGAGGCCCAUUCUUCCAAAGCAGGUUGUGAAGGCACCACAAGGGCCACACAGUAACUGUGAAAUGGAUCAGCAUGCAGCAUCAUGUUGUCAACAUAGAGGCUUACGGUGAGAGUAGCCUCGACCUUUCCCAAA
This 547-nucleotide unclassified non-coding RNA is filed under the name Hevea brasiliensis (rubber tree). The record is from RNAcentral. Lineage: Eukaryota; Viridiplantae; Streptophyta; Magnoliopsida; Malpighiales; Euphorbiaceae.